GACCCACCCACGUUCGCCGACGGCUGCCCUAGCUCCCGUUCGGCCGACGCAAACAAGGGGAAAAGGUGGAGCUCGUCAAGAGAUGGGGUGGCGUUGGGGAUUCCCUCAUCUCCAUGUUGUUGGUGACAAAAAACUCGAAACCCUAGAUUACUAUGUGUGCUAUUUAAGGAGAAGAGAAUGGAGUAGGCAGAGACGUGAAGGAGCCGGAAGUGAUUGUUGCUAGCUUCUUUGCGGAAGAUAGGUGGCUGUCACAAGAGAAGAAGAAGCAAUACUUAAUUACAACAUGUGAUUGGUGCUGCACUACGUGCCCUGUGACACCCCACAUCUCAUCUUGAUCGAUGUGAGAUUAGAUCUUAGGAUGGCCUGAUGCAUGCUACUGAAGUGAUUUUUUUUUGUCUGACUUAUGUCACAAGGUAAGCUGAAUUCGGAUCUGGUCAGUUAAUUAUGUCACUAUUUCCUAGCAAUUGGAUUUCCUAAAUGUUGCUAUCUGUUUUGUUCAUCUUACUAAUUUGGGUUUUGUCAACUACACGGCUGAUUUUUGAUGGUUUGUUAAACAAUAGACAGUAGUUAUUGUGGCUAAUAGAUGAUUGUUUCAUUUUUAGCAUUGGAUGGAGAACAUGCCACCCAAGCCCACACUGUGCGGAUGCAUGGAUCUCAAAGAGGAGCAUCUGUUGGACGCUGCCGUGGCAGUUGCAUUUGUUUUACUAUUAGUACUUUACUUGUAUGCAUGCUCUCAUUUUUUAUUUUUAUCAGUCCACUUGUGCAGUUAACAUUUACACGGUCAGCUCCUUUAAUAUAUUUUAGAAAUAGCCAAGAUUUUGGUGUCAACUCUACUUGAGAGAAGGGGAGACAGGACUAAGUCGAAGCCUCAGAUCUAAAAUUGAUCUACUGUUAUUAAUUUCAGGCAAUUAGUUGAUCAGGCAAUGCAAGUACACUGUGCACCUGCUGCUAACUGAGUUUAAUAGCCUCCUCUGAUGUAGGGUCAUUGGUGAAGGCUGGUGCACUAGAUUUUCACUUGGUCUCAUUUGUUAGUUUGAUAUGCUUCGUUAGGUGCUCAUUUGCACCUUCCUUUCUAGGCUUUGCAGGCAAAAUAUUAUUAGUUGCACGAGUCGAGAUAUUGUGUACAAAAUCCGAAAUC
Molecule: long non-coding RNA, 1138 nt
Organism: Lolium rigidum
Lineage: Eukaryota; Viridiplantae; Streptophyta; Magnoliopsida; Poales; Poaceae
Exons: 3
Source: RefSeq, a predicted model, not a curated record